UAAGCGGAGGAAAGAAACUAACAAGGAUUCCCCCAGUAACGGCGAGUGAAGCGGGAACGGCUCAAAUUUGAAAUCUCCGUUGCUUGCAACGGCGAAUUGUAGUUUCGAGAAGCACUUUCUAGGCGGAUCGGCCCUGUCUAAGUUGCUUGGAACAGCACGUCAGAGAGGGUGACAACCCCGUCCGUGACGGGGCCGGCCGCUGACGAUGUGUUUUCAAAGAGUCGGGUUGUUUGGGAAUGCAGCCCAAAAUGGGUGGUAAACUCCAUCUAAAGCUAAAUAUAGGCACGAGACCGAUAGCGAACAAGUACCGUGAGGGAAAGAUGAAAAGAACUUUGAAAAGAGAGUUAAAAAGUACGUGAAACCGUUGAAAGGGAAACGAAUGGAGUUAGCAAUGCACCCUGCAAGAUUCAGCCGGUGAGUGGCGCGGACGGGCGGUUGGCGGAUCUGAAUGGACCGCCGUCGUUCGGCUCGUGCUCCUCUCCGUCGCACUUCUUGCGGGUGCGCGUCAACGUCGGUUCGGACUCGGUCUUAAAGYGUGCGGGAAGGUAGGUCGCGACGCCUCGGCGUGGCUUCUGUUACAGCCCGUGCUCGUAUGGCCGGGAUCGGACCGAGGAGUCGCAGCGCAUGCCUCUUGUGGCUAGGGUCCCUUCGGGCCGGUCGGUCGUCGACUGUGGUGGACUGCUUGCAGUGCACCCGAACUGCUGCCGGUCGCUUCGGAGGUGACGUCGUACAAUGCGCUAAGGACGUUGGCGGUCAUAUGGCUUCAUCCGACCCGUCUUGAAACACGGACCAAGGAGUCUAGCCUGUGCGCGAGUCUUAGGGUGAAGGAAACCCAGAGGCGCAAUGAAAGUGAAAGCGGCCUGGCCGCCGAGGUGAGAACCUUCCUCUCGGGGGAGGCGCAUCAUUGACCGAUCUAUUCUACUCUUAGGAAGAUUUGA
Molecule: ribosomal RNA, 938 nt
Filed under: Parazoanthus aff. swiftii TDS-2010
Lineage: Eukaryota; Metazoa; Cnidaria; Anthozoa; Zoantharia; Parazoanthidae
Description: eukaryotic LSU rRNA
Rfam family: Eukaryotic large subunit ribosomal RNA
Source: RNAcentral